Molecule: long non-coding RNA, 1106 nt
Filed under: Oryctolagus cuniculus (rabbit)
Lineage: Eukaryota; Metazoa; Chordata; Mammalia; Lagomorpha; Leporidae
Description: lncRNA (ENSOCUG00000037155.1)
Source: RNAcentral
AACAUUACAUUCUGGGAAUUUCAAUUUUGAGUUCUCCAUUUUUAAUGUAGGCCAAAAAACUAUAAGAACAUAAACUAAACUUUUGGCAGAAAACUUCAGAAACACUUUAAUAUCAUUGCGUCACACAAUUGUACAUUCUCAUGCUAUUAAUUUGCUAUUCAUGCAAAUUGAAAAUUUUAAAAAUUGAUAAUACCAUUUUAAGCCUUAUAAAUCUGGAUCUUCUCUGUCACAUCUCAAUGCAUUAGAAACAAAACCAAACAUAUUUCAUUUUGCUAGCUCUGAUAAAUAACGCUAUUCUUUCAGUAGAUUUUCUUAUACAACUAGCUUAGAAUAGAUAACAUAAUGAAUUAUUCAACAGAAUUUCCGAAUACAUUCUGAUAUCUUAAGUUCUUUCCAAUAUUUCACUUUCCUGACUGUUAAUGUACAAUGUAAUACUUUAUCCAUUUUAGUAUUUUUUUUUGUUCUAGUAUCAUUGGUUGAACUCUGUAAUUAACACACAAUUAUUCUUAGGUGUUUAAAUUUUAACUGAAAAGUGAUCCCUAUUAGGAAUUUGGAAAACAUUAUGCUGAGUGAAAUAAGCCAGUCCCAAAGGGACAAAUAUCAUAUGUUCUUCCUGAUCAGUGACAACUAACUGAGCACCAAAAAGGAAACCUGUUAAAGUGAAAUGAACACUAUGAGAAACGGUGACUUGAUCAGCCCUCACCCUGACUGUUGAUGAGCAACUUGAUAUGUUAUCCCUCUUAGUAUUUUUUUUGUUUGUUCUACUUACUACUUUUGGUUGAAUAUUGUAAUCAAUACACAGUUAUUAUUAAGUGUUGAAACUUAACUGAAAAGUGAUCCCUGUUAAAUAUAAGAGUGAGAAUAAGAGAGGGAAGAGAUGUACAAUUUCGGACAUGCUCAAGCUGACUUACCCUAAAGUUAGAAACAUACCAGUGGAUUCCAAUUCAAUCCCAUCAAGGUGGCAGGUGCCAAUGCCAUCUCACUAGUACAAGUGAUCAAUUUCUGUUCACAAUUGAUCAUAAUGAUAGGACUAAGAGAAAAAGGGAGCACAUAAACAAGACUAGUGACUGCAAAUAAUAGCUGAUAGAAUAAAAAAGGGAGAGAAC